UAGGGAAUCUUCCGCAAUGGACGCAAGUCUGACGGAGCAACGCCGCGUGAGUGAAGAAGGAUUUCGGUUCGUAAAACUCUGUUGUUAGAGAAGAACAGCGCAUAGAGUAACUGUUAUGCGUGUGACGGUAUCUAACCAGAAAGCCACGGCUAACUACGUGCCAGCAGCCGCGGUAAUACGUAGGUGGCAAGCGUUGUCCGGAUUUAUUGGGCGUAAAGCGAGCGCAGGCGGUCAAUUAAGUCGGAUGUGAAAGCCCCCGGCUCAACCGGGGAGGGUCAUUGGAAACUGGUUGACUUGAGUGCAGAAGAGGAGAGUGGAAUUCCAUGUGUAGCGGUGAAAUGCGUAGAUAUAUGGAGGAACACCAGUGGCGAAGGCGACUCUCUGGUCUGUAACUGACGCGGAGGUUCGAAAGCGUGGGUAGCAAACAGG
RNAcentral lists this ribosomal RNA (429 nucleotides) under Bacteroidota bacterium. Its description in RNAcentral is "Bacteroidetes bacterium partial 16S ribosomal RNA". It matches the Rfam family "Bacterial small subunit ribosomal RNA", at positions 355 to 776 of the family's 1533-position model. The record is from RNAcentral. Lineage: Bacteria; Pseudomonadati; Bacteroidota.